Molecule: long non-coding RNA, 1068 nt
Filed under: Anas platyrhynchos platyrhynchos (common mallard)
Lineage: Eukaryota; Metazoa; Chordata; Aves; Anseriformes; Anatidae
Description: lncRNA (ENSAPLG00000016623.1)
Source: RNAcentral
AUGUGCCGGGCUUUAACUCUGUUACACUGUAUGACGUACAAACGGGAUUUAAGAAAAGCUCUUAAAAUAUGUGGUGGGCACCAGGCAUCCCGUGUCCGCCUCCCAGACGCAGCCAUUUAUUUCACCUUCCCCCCGCGGCUGCUGGCGGGGCUGACAGCGGGGCGAGCCCCAGCCCCUGCCCUGCUUAGCUGCGGCUCCCUCGGCCACCUCGGGGGCAAACCGGAGGCGAAGAGGUGUGUGUUUGUGCGUGUAUGGUGUAUGUGGGGUGUGUUUGUGUGUGUGUGUGUUUGUGUAUUUGUGCCCCGUGUGCGUGGCGGGCGGGGCACAGCCGCCUCCCCGCCGCGGGGGGGGGGGAUCGCAGCCAGCUCCCUGCCAGCGCCCCGCUCCCAGCCGCCGCAUGGUGAGGGGCUGCGGCGGGGGAAGCGGGACCGGGAGGGGCCGAGGGGAGGCAGGGACGGAGGGAUGGAGGACGGAAGGACGGAAAAAGGAGGAGGCCGGGUGCUGCUGGCUGGUUCCGGCGAUGGCGGCUCGGCCGCUUUCGCUUUCGCUUCCCCUUCCCAGCCGGGGCUCGGUGCCUGCGGCCGUGCCCUGCCGGUAGGAGCCGGCGGCGGGGGGUGGGGGGCUGCGGGGCGGCGCCGUGACCCCCUCCGAGCCCCGACCCCGAGCCCCGAGCCCCAGCCCCGGGGCCCGUCCCGCUGGGGCCGCCCCCCCCGCAGCCCGGGUGCCCCGGGGGUGUCCCGGGCGGGGGGCGCAGGGAGGGGUCUGGGGGGUUUGGGGGGGAUUUGGGGGGGUUUGGGUUUGGUGAAGGUGGCCACAAGUCGCUGGGUCAGCACGGGGUUGGGAGAAAGUAGAGCACAGGGUGACGAGUGGCUUGGCGCUGCGUUUCAGCAGGGUUUCUGUGCCCUUCAGGAGAGGGGAGCUGGUGUAGGGCGUGUAGGACAUGAAGGUUUCCUCAUGGCUCUCUGUCCCCCAUCGCUCUCUGCUUGUGCUUCUGGCAGGGUGGGGGAAGCCCAGGCCUGGGCCACCUGUUGCAGCCGUGGUCCAGGAAUACAGAAAAAUCCGUGUUAG